Long non-coding RNA from Gossypium raimondii (Peruvian cotton), 2128 nucleotides. RefSeq lists it as uncharacterized. The record is from RefSeq and is a predicted model, not a curated record. The transcript has 6 exons. NCBI's taxonomy places the organism in Eukaryota, Viridiplantae, Streptophyta, Magnoliopsida, Malvales, Malvaceae.
CUCCGCUGAAACCCCUAAUUUUUCCCCCUCUUCUUCGCAGUCUAUGAGCAUUUCGCUUCUUCACCUUUUUCAAACUCAUUUCUUUAUCCUCUUCUUUCUUUUUCUCGGAUCUUCUUUCUCCCUCUCUCCAAAGUUCUUCGAUUCUUUCCGUCUCCUUUUCUCUCCCUCUCUGGUAAUUUCAUCUUUCCGAACAGGGCCGGUCUAGCCAAUCUCUACCAGGGCGGUUUAAUGUUAACCUUCUAGGGUCAAAAGAUCCAAGGCUCUCAGAGCAUCAUUGCUAAACUCACCAGCCUUCCUUUCUAGCGGUGUCAGCACAGCAUCACCACCAUCGAUUGUCAACCCUCCGGUGCUGGCGGCAUGUUGGUUUUCGUCAGUGGUACCCUCCAACUCGUCAGUGGUUUCGAUUCGUAGGAGCCAAUUAUUAACACAUAUGCCAACUUUAGAGAUGAUGUUCUUCCCUGUAUUAAAAGACUUGGGUACAAUGCUGUUCAGAUCAUGGCUAGUCAAGAGCACUCAUAUUAUGCUAGCUUCGGGUAUUACCUCCAUCGUAAUAUUGGCUCAUAUCUAUUUGUUGCUGUGUAUGUUUGUACUAUGUGACAAACUUCUUUGCACAUAGUAGCCGCUUUGGAACCCCUGAUAACGAUAAGUCACUGAUAGAUAAGGCUCAUGAGUUGGGUAUACUUGUUCUUAUGGAUAUUGUGCACAGAUGGGCUGAACAUGUUUGAUGGAACUGAUGGUCAUUACUUCCACUCGGUGUGGGAUUCUCGCCUUUUUAAUUAUGGAAGCUGAGAAGUACUGAGGUAUCUUUUUUCAAAUGCAAGAUGGUGGCUGGAGGAGUAUAAGUUUGAUGGGUACAGAUUUGAUGGUGUGACUUCAAUAAUGUACAUCCAUCAUGGGUUGUAGGUAUUAUAUAUGACUGAAUUUGGAGAUUCUCCAAUUUCAUGAUGUAAUAUAAUAAGUUAUUCAUAUGCUCAGAUGUUAAUUGCCCAGUUUUGACAUUAUUUUGAAGCUGAUGUUACAUUUGGUUCUUGCAAGUAGUGAAGCAUCAUUCUUUAUGUUUGUUUCUUAACAAUUUUUGCUCGAGGACUAAAUGGUCUCCAUGUAAUUACGAUUAAGAAGAAAAAUCAAGGUAAAAGCUUGUGGUUUUUUGUCUUUCCGUUCCUUCUCUAUCCACUGUAUGGGUUUCAGAAAAAGAGCUUUGCUUACUCUUGCUAUUAAAGUCAAGUUAGUUUCCUAUUUGAUCUUCUAAUUUUCCUUCUUUGAUUCGUGUUUUUUUUUUGUGUUAAAGUGUUUGCAAUUUUGUUUGUUUUUGGAGAAAUCUAGGAUUAUUGUUGUAUUUUCUAAAACUGAUCUGUUAUUGAUGGAAGUUAACCCUUACAGUUGUUAGUGAUAAACACAUAAAUUUGAAUGUUGAUAAAUUAUUGAAUUAUUAAUUUAUAUUAAAUUAUUGCAUAUAAUCAUUGAAUUGUUUAUUUUACUAAUUAAUUAUACAUAAAUAAUUAGAUAGUUGAUUUUGAGCAAUAUUAUUUGAUUGGCUCAUUUUUGGUAUGGCAAUUUAAAGAGAUUAAUAAUUGUACUUUUUUUAAAAGUUUUUCCCCUGACCAACUAUAAAAUUAAAGUUAAUCAAUUGAAAUAGAUGUAGAUCAUAAGGUAUUUAAGCUGCUACAAUGAGUAGUAUGUUUAGUUUACUAGAGUUUCUUUGGACUUUGGUUUGAUUCAAUUAUCAAAUAUUUAGCUCAGCAUUUGAUUGGUCAGGACUCGGGUCUUUAAAGUUCCUCAAUCAUUUUCUUCCUUUUUUUCAGAAUCAGAUUUGCUUUUUUGCUUGAAUCUUGACUUUAUAAUCAAUUUGGUGGGUCGGGUUGAUUGAAGCUUUAAGGUUGUAUGGUCCUGGCUGGCGCUAAAUAGAAGAGCAUGUAGGCACCAAAUCUGCAGUUCAAAUUCGAAGCCAUGCUCAAAAUUUUUUCUCUAAGGCUCAUUGCUUUGAGUUCAUUACAAGAUAUCCUUGAUUUAGUAAAUGUAUUAUAUUUUUUAUUACCAAGAUUUACUUGAUUAAGAAAAUGCAUUGUAUGUUUUAUUACCUUGCAUAUGUAUUAUUUAUUUUAGUUUUGAUUCUAAAUUUUUAUUUUUA